Molecule: long non-coding RNA, 892 nt
Filed under: Malus domestica (apple)
Lineage: Eukaryota; Viridiplantae; Streptophyta; Magnoliopsida; Rosales; Rosaceae
Description: long non-coding RNA (MDOM_LNC005198)
Source: RNAcentral
GAAGAGGACCGAGUCUUUCAGAAACCCUUGGGUCAUUGAUCUUCGAGCUUAUGUGGAUGAGAUUCUCUCGACGUUGCUUUAGGAAGUCUCGACAAUCGCGAUAGACGGCUUUUGAUCCUUCCACUCCCUCUGUGAGGAGGUGUUUUCCUCUACUUCUCCUGCUUCGGGUUGAAGCAGCUGGGUUGAGAGAAGUCUCAUGUUGAUUAUCACAUUGAUGUGUAGCUCGAUCCCUAUCAGGGAUGUUCGUGUUGGAUAUCAGUGACCCUCCAUGUUGGGGGGCAUUCAGAUGAUUGUUGACCUUAACAUGGGCGACGAGCUUGUGUGUUUGAGCAUGCCUAGCCUCGUGAAGCAUCUCGAAAAGUUUUUCAUAUUGUUCUUGGAGGACCUCAUUCUUCAUCGCUAUCUUGUUGUUCUGAACCUCUAGCUCAUCGACUUUAGCUUGAAGAGUAACUUUAUUUCCUUCAUGCUUUCGUUGCUUCAUACUAGGUCCAAGGGGGGUGUCAUUCUGUGUGCUAUGACUUCUUUCGCUCCCCAUGUCAGAGAGAGAUGCUUGGCCAAAAGAAAGUGUACGAGCGGUGGAAACCAGCUUGACAAAGUUGUAGAGCGUAGGAAUAAGCGUAUUCCCACAGAUGGCGCCAAAUGUUGAUGCACAAAAUCAGUGAGGACUUUGGUACAACAGAAAGUGUCAGGUUUUGUGACAUUCGCUUGGUUGCUUCGGUCACUAGUGAGGAUAAGUAUGUAAAUGAAUAGAGACAGGGAAGCAAACACAAGAUAUACGUGGUUUACCCAGAUUGGCUACGUCCACGGAGUAGAGGAGUUCUCAUUAAUUGUGAAGGGUUUACACAAAUACAUAGGUUCAAGCUCUCAUUUUGUGAGUUCUAGUGAAUAGUUU